UGCCAGCAGUCGCGGUUAAACCAGGGGAUUAAGUUGUAUUCUACGGUGAAAAGACAGUUAAACAAUGCAGCAUGUUAAAUUCAUUGCUCUAUCAGGAGGUAGAAUUCGAAGAUAGGCAAGUAUACUUAAUAGAACUAGCGCGUUGAAGCUGUGACAACUUUGAGGGAAACUAGGAUUAGAUACCCUACUAUUCAUAGAAGUAAACUAAAAAAUUUUACCAGAGUACUAAGAAUAAAAAAUUUAAAACUCAAAGGGCUUGGCGGUGUUUUAGACUACUUAGGGGAACCUGUCUCGUAAUCGACAAUCCGCGUUAUACCUAACCUUUUUUUGCAUUCAGUUUGUAUACCGUCGUCGCCAGGUAACUUUUAAGAUAUAAACAGUUAGCUAGCUAAAUAUUUAAAUUAAGACGUCAGAUCAAGGUGCAGCUAACAAUAAGGUGUAGAUGGGUUACAAUUACCACAUUUGUAAUAACGGACAACGACUUUAAAAGUACAUUGGAAGGAGGACUUAAAAGUAAAAUAGACUAUAUAAAUAUCUUGAAUAAAGCUCUGAAACGUGCACACAUCGCCCGUCACUCU
RNAcentral lists this ribosomal RNA (578 nucleotides) under Neotiara lens. Its description in RNAcentral is "Mitra lens partial 12S ribosomal RNA". It matches the Rfam family "Microsporidia small subunit ribosomal RNA", at positions 391 to 1205 of the family's 1311-position model. Lineage: Eukaryota; Metazoa; Mollusca; Gastropoda; Neogastropoda; Mitridae. The record is from RNAcentral.